AUUGCUUCUCGGCCUUAUUGGCUAGAUCAAGUGUAGUAUCUGUUCUUAUCAGUUUAAUAUCUGAUACGUCCCCUACCCGGGGACCAUAUAUUAAAUUGAUUUUUGGAACUUGGAGAUGGAAUAGGGGCUUGCUCCUGUCCGCUCCAUGCCAUCGGCCUGGGUAUUGCAGUCCUCAGGAGCGGAUGCACCUCCU
Small nuclear RNA from Fundulus heteroclitus (mummichog), 193 nucleotides. RefSeq annotates it as U2 spliceosomal RNA. The record is from RefSeq and is a predicted model, not a curated record. The transcript has a single exon. Lineage: Eukaryota; Metazoa; Chordata; Actinopteri; Cyprinodontiformes; Fundulidae.